This 448-nucleotide ribosomal RNA is filed under the name Epicoccum nigrum. RNAcentral's name for it is "eukaryotic LSU rRNA". The stretch from base 93 to 246 matches the Rfam family "5.8S ribosomal RNA". Lineage: Eukaryota; Fungi; Ascomycota; Dothideomycetes; Pleosporales; Didymellaceae. The record is from RNAcentral.
ACCUUCGUUUCCUCGGCGGGUCCGCCCGCCGAUUGGACAACAUUCAAACCCUUUGCAGUUGCAAUCAGCGUCUGAAAAAACAUAAUAGUUACAACUUUCAACAACGGAUCUCUUGGUUCUGGCAUCGAUGAAGAACGCAGCGAAAUGCGAUAAGUAGUGUGAAUUGCAGAAUUCAGUGAAUCAUCGAAUCUUUGAACGCACAUUGCGCCCCUUGGUAUUCCAUGGGGCAUGCCUGUUCGAGCGUCAUUUGUACCUUCAAGCUCUGCUUGGUGUUGGGUGUUUGUCUCGCCUCUGCGUGUAGACUCGCCUUAAAACAAUUGGCAGCCGGCGUAUUGAUUUCGGAGCGCAGUACAUCUCGCGCUUUGCACUCAUAACGACGACGUCCAAAAGUACAUUUUUACACUCUUGACCUCGGAUCAGGUAGGGAUACCCGCUGAACUUAAGCAUA